GAACUGUAUGGCCAAAAUCCAAAUGCUCCUUUCGAUGUUGUAAAAUGUUAUUAGGAGUUCAUCAUUCUCAAACCUAUAGUUUGUAUGGCGUGAAAAAACCCGGGAUCAUAUAUAAUAAAGAAAAUGCAUCACAAUGUCCCUUAACAAUAUAUCAUAGUCUGAUGUAGGUGCAAGGUUUGCGUACACUUUAUCCUCUCGAUUUCACACUUUGUGUGAUUACAUUGGGUAUGUGAAUUAA
This 238-nucleotide unclassified non-coding RNA is filed under the name Hevea brasiliensis (rubber tree). Lineage: Eukaryota; Viridiplantae; Streptophyta; Magnoliopsida; Malpighiales; Euphorbiaceae. The record is from RNAcentral.